This 1369-nucleotide ribosomal RNA is filed under the name uncultured bacterium. Its description in RNAcentral is "bacterial SSU rRNA". It matches the Rfam family "Bacterial small subunit ribosomal RNA", at positions 28 to 1381 of the family's 1533-position model. The record is from RNAcentral.
GACGAACGCUGGCGGCGUGCCUAAUACAUGCAAGUAGAACGCUGAAGAGAGGAGCUUGCUCUUCUUGGAUGAGUUGCGAACGGGUGAGUGACGCGUAGGUAACCUGCCUUGUAGCGGGGGAUAACUAUUGGAAACGAUAGCUAAUACCGCAUAACAAUGGAUGACACAUGUCAUUUAUUUGAAAGGGGCAAUUGCUCCACUACAAGAUGGACCUGCGUUGUAUUAGCUAGUAGGUGAGGUAACGGCUCACCUAGGCGACGAUACAUAGCCGACCUGAGAGGGUGAUCGGCCACACUGGGACUGAGACACGGCCCAGACUCCUACGGGAGGCAGCAGUAGGGAAUCUUCGGCAAUGGGGGCAACCCUGACCGAGCAACGCCGCGUGAGUGAAGAAGGUUUUCGGAUCGUAAAGCUCUGUUGUAAGUCAAGAACGAGUGUGAGAGUGGAAAGUUCACACUGUGACGGUAGCUUACCAGAAAGGGACGGCUAACUACGUGCCAGCAGCCGCGGUAAUACGUAGGUCCCGAGCGUUGUCCGGAUUUAUUGGGCGUAAAGCGAGCGCAGGCGGUUUGAUAAGUCUGAAGUUAAAGGCUGUGGCUCAACCAUAGUUCGCUUUGGAAACUGUCAAACUUGAGUGCAGAAGGGGAGAGUGGAAUUCCAUGUGUAGCGGUGAAAUGCGUAGAUAUAUGGAGGAACACCGGUGGCGAAAGCGGCUCUCUGGUCUGUAACUGACGCUGAGGCUCGAAAGCGUGGGGAGCGAACAGGAUUAGAUACCCUGGUAGUCCACGCCGUAAACGAUGAGUGCUAGGUGUUGGAUCCUUUCCGGGAUUCAGUGCCGCAGCUAACGCAUUAAGCACUCCGCCUGGGGAGUACGACCGCAAGGUUGAAACUCAAAGGAAUUGACGGGGGCCCGCACAAGCGGUGGAGCAUGUGGUUUAAUUCGAAGCAACGCGAAGAACCUUACCAGGUCUUGACAUCCCGAUGCUAUUUCUAGAGGUAGAAAGUUACUUCGGUACAUCGGUGACAGGUGGUGCAUGGUUGUCGUCAGCUCGUGUCGUGAGAUGUUGGGUUAAGUCCCGCAACGAGCGCAACCCCUAUUGUUAGUUGCCAUCAUUCAGUUGGGCACUCUAGCGAGACUGCCGGUAAUAAACCGGAGGAAGGUGGGGAUGACGUCAAAUCAUCAUGCCCCUUAUGACCUGGGCUACACACGUGCUACAAUGGUUGGUACAACGAGUUGCGAGUCGGUGACGGCAAGCUAAUCUCUUAAAGCCAAUCUCAGUUCGGAUUGUAGGCUGCAACUCGCCUACAUGAAGUCGGAAUCGCUAGUAAUCGCGGAUCAGCACGCCGCGGUGAAUACGUUCCCGGGCCU